GCCAGGAGUGGCGGUGCACACCUGUAAUCUCAGCAGCUCAGGAGGCUGAGGCAGGAGGAUCGUGAGUUCAAAGCCAGCCUCAGCAAAAGUGAGGCUCUAAGAAACUCAGUGAGACCCUGUCUGUA
RNAcentral lists this small RNA (125 nucleotides) under Marmota monax (woodchuck). Lineage: Eukaryota; Metazoa; Chordata; Mammalia; Rodentia; Sciuridae. The record is from RNAcentral.